Molecule: ribosomal RNA, 425 nt
Filed under: uncultured bacterium
Lineage: Bacteria
Description: partial 16S ribosomal RNA
Rfam family: Bacterial small subunit ribosomal RNA
Source: RNAcentral
GUGGGGAAUCUUGCGCAAUGGGCGAAAGCCUGACGCAGCCAUGCCGCGUGAAUGAUGAAGGUCUUAGGAUUGUAAAAUUCUUUCACCGGGGACGAUAAUGACGGUACCCGGAGAAGAAGCUCCGGCUAACUUCGUGCCAGCAGCCGCGGUAAUACGAAGGGGGCUAGCGUUGCUCGGAAUUACUGGGCGUAAAGGGCGCGUAGGCGGACAGCUUAGUCAGAGGUGAAAGCCCAGGGCUCAACCUUGGUAUUGCCUUUGAUACUGGCUGUCUUGAGUUUGGGAGAGGUGAGUGGAACUCCGAGUGUAGAGGUGAAAUUCGUAGAUAUUCGGAAGAACACCAGUGGCGAAGGCGACUCACUGGCCCAAUACUGACGCUGAGGCGCGAAAGCGUGGGGAGCAAACAGGAUUAGAAACCCGGGUAGUCC